AAAACAGUCAGGAGGUUGGCUUAGAAGCAGCCACCCUUUAAAGAAAGCGUAAUAGCUCACUGAUCGAGUCGUCCUGCGCGGAAGAUGUAACGGGGCUCAAACUGUGCACCGAAGCUAGGGAUUUACAUGUAAGUGUAAAUGGUAGGAGAGCGUUCCGUAAGCCUACGAAGGUGACUUGUAAAGGUUGCUGGAGGUAUCGGAAGUGCGAAUGCUGACAUGAGUAGCGAUAAAGGGAGUGAAAGGCUCCCUCGCCGAAAACCCAAGGUUUCCUGUGCAACGUUCAUCGGCGCAGGGUGAGUCGGCCCCUAAGGUGAGGCAGAAAUGCGUAGCUGAUGGGAAACUGGUUAAAAUUCCAGUACCUUUUAUCAAUGCGAUGUGGGGACGGAGAAGGUUAACUCAGCCGGGUGUUGGAUGUCCCGGUUCAAGCGUGUAGACAUGCUGCUUAGGCAAAUCCGGGCAGCUGAGUUGAGACGUGAUAACGCAACACUCUUCGGAGUGCCAAGUGAGCGAUACCAUGCUUCCAGGAAAAGCCACUAAGCUUCAGUUGAUAAGAGACCGUACCGUAAACCGACACAGGUGGGUAGGAUGAGAAUUCUAAGGCGCUUGAGAGAACUCAGGAGAAGGAACUCGGCAAAAUUGCACCGUAACUUCGGGAGAAGGUGUGCCCUUUGUACGUGUAGCGCUUCGCGCGUGAAGCGGAAAGGGGUUGCAAUAAAAAGGUGGCUGCGACUGUUUAUUAAAAACACAGCACUCUGCAAACACGAAAGUGGACGUAUAGGGUGUGACGCCUGCCCGGUGCUUGAAGGUUAAUUGAUGGGGUUAGCUUCGGCGAAGCUCUUGAUCGAAGCCCCAGUAAACGGCGGCCGUAACUAUAACGGUCCUAAGGUAGCGAAAUUCCUUGUCGGGUAAGUUCCGACCUGCACGAAUGGUGCAACGAUCUGGGCACUGUCUCAGCCAUGAGCUCGGUGAAAUUGAAGUAUCGGUGAAGAUGCCGAUUACCCGCAACGGGACGGAAAGACCCCGUGAACCUUCACUACAGCUUAACAUUGAUUCUGGUCAUAUAAUGUGUAGGAUAGGCGGGAGAUAUUGAAGCGGUGUCGCCAGGCAUCGUGGAAUCAAUCUUGAAAUACCGCCCUUUAUGUGAUUGGGAUCUAAUCCUAGGGGAGACAUUGUUAGGUGGGUAGUUUGACUGGGGUGGUCGCCUCCAAAAAAGUAACGGAGGCUUUCAAAGGUGUCCUCAGUACGGUUGGUAAUCGUACGAAGAGCGCAAUAGC
This 1274-nucleotide ribosomal RNA is filed under the name Rhopilema esculentum. Its description in RNAcentral is "bacterial LSU rRNA". It matches the Rfam family "Bacterial large subunit ribosomal RNA", at positions 1086 to 2358 of the family's 2925-position model. The record is from RNAcentral. Lineage: Eukaryota; Metazoa; Cnidaria; Scyphozoa; Rhizostomeae; Rhizostomatidae.